AAAGUCGUAACAAGGUUUCCGUAGGUGAACCUGCGGAAGGAUCAUUGCUAAUACAUGAUUUAGACAGGGCUGCAUUUAUGCAGCGCUGUGUGAAACUUGGUCGUCAGCGGGUGGAGGUUGUGGUGAGGAGGUUUGCACUGGUGUGGGUGGAUAAUCAUUUACACGGGAGUGUGGGUGGAUAGUCAUUUACACGGGUGUGGACGAUACUCACUAUGAUCACAUCUCAGACAACACACACGCGUUCUUGUUUGUCAGUCUAGGUAAAUUAAAAAGAAACAACUUUUAACAAUGGAUCUCUUGGCUCUU
Molecule: unclassified non-coding RNA, 306 nt
Filed under: Basidiomycota sp.
Lineage: Eukaryota; Fungi; Basidiomycota
Description: partial contains small subunit ribosomal RNA, internal transcribed spacer 1, and 5.8S ribosomal RNA
Rfam family: Eukaryotic small subunit ribosomal RNA (bases 1-47)
Source: RNAcentral